CCUACGGGGGGCAGCAGUGAGGAAUAUUGGUCAAUGGACGAGAGUCUGAACCAGCCAAGUAGCGUGAAGGAUGACUGCCCUAUGGGUUGUAAACUUCUUUUAUAUGGGAAUAAAAUGUUCCACGUUUGGGAUUUUGUAUGUACCAUAUGAAUAAGGAUCGGCUACCUCCGUCCCAGCAGCCGCGGUAAUCCGGAGGAUCCGAGCGUUAUCCGGAUUUAUUGGGUUUAAAGGGAGCGUAGGUGGAUUGUUAAGUCAGUUGUGAAAGUUUGCGGCUCAACCGUAAAAUUGCAGUUGAAACUGGCAGUCUUGAGUACAGUAGAGGUGGGCGGAAUUUGUGGUGUAGCGGUGAAAUGCUUAGAUAUCACGAAGAACUCCGAUUGCGAAGGCAGUUCACUGGACUGCAACUGACACUGAGGCUCGAAAGUGUGGGUAUCAAACAGGAUUAGAUACCCGGGUAGUC
This 460-nucleotide ribosomal RNA is filed under the name uncultured bacterium. RNAcentral's name for it is "partial 16S ribosomal RNA". It matches the Rfam family "Bacterial small subunit ribosomal RNA", at positions 338 to 795 of the family's 1533-position model. The record is from RNAcentral.